GACGAACGCUGGCGGCGUGCUUAACACAUGCAAGUCGAACGGAAAGGCCCUGCUUUUGUGGGGUGCUCGAGUGGCGAACGGGUGAGUAACACGUGAGUAACCUGUCCCUGACUUUGGGAUAACUUCAGGAAACUGGGGCUAAUACCGGAUAGGAGCUCCUGCUGCAUGGUGGGGGUUGGAAAGUUUCGGCGGUUGGGGAUGGACUCGCGGCUUAUCAGCUUGUUGGUGGGGUAGUGGCUUACCAAGGCUUUGCCGGGUAGCCGGCCUGAGAGGGUGACCGGCCACAGUGGGACUGAGAUACGGCCCAGACUCCUACGGGAGGCAGCAGUGGGGAAUAUUGCACAAUGGGCGGGAGCCUGAUGCAGCAACGCCGCGUGCGGGAUGACGGCCUUCGGGUUGUAAACCGCUUGCGCCUGUAACGAAGCGGGAGUGACGGUAAUGGGUAAAGAAGCACCGGCUAACUACGUG
Molecule: ribosomal RNA, 468 nt
Filed under: uncultured bacterium
Lineage: Bacteria
Description: partial 16S ribosomal RNA
Rfam family: Bacterial small subunit ribosomal RNA
Source: RNAcentral